GUGAGCCUCUGAGGCUAGAGAAAUCUGCCAGGAAUCGCGGGACUCACUGAGACAAGGAUUGGGUAGAGGCAGUUUCCUUUCUUGUGGAUCACAAAGUAUUGAGUAGAAGCUCUUCCUCAGAAACUUCUGAGGAACUCUCUUGGAUAGGAGGCACCUGAUAACUCUUCAAGAAGAGGUCUCAUGAGAAGGAUCCUGGAAAAGGAUUGGGAAAGGAAGAACAAUGCUAUGGCAGCAGAGUGCCUGGUACCAAAAAGGAGUGAGCUGCUGAUGGAGCCACUUCCCCUUCAGUCCAGUGAACUCAGAGCACUUGUGCACAUUUUGACAUUGGUGACAACUCUCAGUACCAAGGACAAUUCCCGAAGUUAAGAAGGUGCUGAUCAUAGCAAGGCCUUUGAAGAUCCAGUGCCUUUCUGGAUGUUGGUGCCAAAGACAGCAACAACUUGGAAUUCAGCGGGUAAAAGACGAAGGCCCACCAAACACUAAGGGAGUGGAGUCUUUGUUCAUCUGCAGAAGCAUUCAGUUUUGGGAAGAUCAGAGAGCCCAUUUCUUGGUUGGGUAACUGUCACCGAAACAGAAAAAGGGUUUAAACCCUUGCUGAAUGGACUCCUGGAUUAGCAAGAUAUCAUUAUAUAGUGGAAAAGCCUGACUGAGGUUCUGGGUCCCCAUUGGAACAAAAUUAGGUAAACUGAAGAGUUUACCAAGCCUGAAAAUUUCAAAUUGUGGUGCUGUAGCCUUAAGCUUCCCAGUAAUUCCCAGGAUGUGUGAGGAUAUUGCCUUGUUGAGAGCUGAUCAUUUCUUUAUAACUCUUUAAAGGAAUUCUAUUAACUUCAUCUCACUAAAAGCAGCUUCAAUGAGAUUUGCCUCAGGAAGUGGUAUCCAGACAGACCUCCAGGAUAAGAUUCUACAUAAAGAAGUAUUGCAAAAAAGCACAGAAAAUCUGGUAGUCUUAUGAGGCUACAUUUUGGAAGCCUAGUUGCAACCUUGUAGCUAAAGCUGAGUUCUAUUUUGCAUACAAGGAUUAAACCUUUGCUUUGCAUAAAAUAAGUAUCCAGUAUUAAACCUGGAGCAGCUGAUAUGAGAUUUGAUGAAUAAAGAAUUAAAGGAAGGUAACAUAAUGCCAAUGAACAUGGGUAUAUGGAAAACAGACAUCGUGAAACUAAUUUGGUAUUUUUUUUAAAUGAGAUGACAAGUUUAAUUGAUAAAGGUAAUUGUGUUGAUGUAAUAUACUCAGUCUUCUCUAAGGUAUUUGAUUUGGUACUGCAUGAAAUUUUGAUUAAAAAAGCUAGAAUGAUAUAAAAUAUCACAUUAAAUAGAUUAAAAGCUGGCUAAAUGAUAGGUCUCAAAAUGUACUGUAAAUGGGGAAUCAUCAUUGAGUGGGUGUGCUCCUAAUGGGGUCCUGGAAGGAUCUGUUUUUGACCCUAUGCUAUUUAAACAUUUUUAUUAAUGACCUAAAAGAAAAAACAAAAUCAUCAAUGAUAAAGUUGCAGAUGACAAAAAUUGGGGAAGUGGUAAGUAAUGAAGAGCACCAGUAAUACAGAGCAAUCUCAAUUGGUUGGUAAACUCGACUCAAGCAAAUAUGUAUUUUAAUAUACCUUUAACUGUAUACAUCUAGGAAUGAAGAAUGUAGGCCAUACUUACAUGAUGGGGGACUCUACUCUGGGAAACAGUGACUCUGAAAAAGAUUGAGGGG
Long non-coding RNA from Dermochelys coriacea (leatherback sea turtle), 1690 nucleotides. RefSeq lists it as uncharacterized. The record is from RefSeq and is a predicted model, not a curated record. The transcript is spliced from 5 exons. Lineage: Eukaryota; Metazoa; Chordata; Testudines; Dermochelyidae.